CCUACGGGUCGCAGCAGUGGGGAAUCUUGCGCAAUGGGCGAAAGCCUGACGCAGCCAUGCCGCGUGAAUGAUGAAGGUCUUAGGAUUGUAAAAUUCUUUCACCAGGGACGAUAAUGACGGUACCCGGAGAAGAAGCCCCGGCUAACUUCGUGCCAGCAGCCGCGGUAAUACGAAGGGGGCUAGCGUUGCUCGGAAUUACUGGGCGUAAAGGGAGCGUAGGCGGACAUUUAAGUCAGGGGUGAAAUCCCGGGGCUCAGCCUCGGAAUUGCCUUUGAUACUGGGUGUCUUGAGUAUGAGAGAGGUGUGUGGAACUCCGAGUGUAGAGGUGAAAUUCGUAGAUAUUCGGAAGAACACCAGUGGCGUAGGCGACACACUGGCUCGUUACUGACGCUGAGGCUCGAAAGCGUGGGGAGCAAACAGGAUUAGAUACCCGUGUAGUC
This 440-nucleotide ribosomal RNA is filed under the name uncultured bacterium. RNAcentral describes it as "bacterial SSU rRNA". It matches the Rfam family "Bacterial small subunit ribosomal RNA", at positions 338 to 795 of the family's 1533-position model. The record is from RNAcentral.